AAUAAAAUGCCUGAAUAAAGGGUUUUCUUGAUAGGAUAAAUUAUGUGUUAUUUAUUUCACUUUUAUUA
This 68-nucleotide transfer RNA is filed under the name Ixodes holocyclus (paralysis tick). RNAcentral describes it as "tRNA-Ile". Lineage: Eukaryota; Metazoa; Arthropoda; Arachnida; Ixodida; Ixodidae. The record is from RNAcentral.